Molecule: ribosomal RNA, 497 nt
Filed under: uncultured bacterium
Lineage: Bacteria
Description: partial 16S ribosomal RNA
Rfam family: Bacterial small subunit ribosomal RNA
Source: RNAcentral
GAUGAACGCUGGCGGCGGGCCUAAUACAUGCAAGUCGAGCGAACAGACGAGUAGCUUUCUCCUCUGACGUGAGGGGCGGACGGGCGAGUAACACGUGGAUAACCUACCUAUAAGACUGGGAUAACUUCGGAAAACCGGAGCUAAUACCGGAGAAUAUAAUGAACGGCAUGGUUCAAUAGUGAAAAACGGUUUGGCUAUGAUUGGUAGGUGUAUCCGCCCCGCAUUAGCUAGUUGGUGAGGUAACGGCUUACCAAGGCAACGCUGCGUAGCGUACGUGAGAUGGUGAUAGUCCACCCCGCAACUGAACCACGGUCCAGACCCCUACGGGACGCAGCAGUAGGGAAUCUUCCGCAAUGGGCGAAAGCCUGACGGAGCACCGCCGCGUGAGUGAUGAAGGUCUUCGGAUCGUAAAACUAUGUUAUUAGGGAACAACAAAUGUGUAAGUAACUCUGCACGUCUUGACGGUACCUAAUCAGAAAGCCACGGCUAACUCCGUG